This 472-nucleotide ribosomal RNA is filed under the name Catonella morbi. Its description in RNAcentral is "bacterial SSU rRNA". It matches the Rfam family "Bacterial small subunit ribosomal RNA", at positions 28 to 497 of the family's 1533-position model. The record is from RNAcentral. Lineage: Bacteria; Bacillati; Bacillota; Clostridia; Lachnospirales; Lachnospiraceae.
GAUGAACGCUGGCGGCGUGCCUAACACAUGCAAGUCGAACGGAGAUUACGGACGGAAGUUUUCGGAUGGAAGCCUGUAAUUCUUAGUGGCGGACGGGUGAGUAACGCGUGGGCAACCUGCCCUAUACAGGGGGAUAGCAGCUGGAAACGGCUGGUAAGACCGCAUAAGUCGGUUAAAUCGCAUGAUUUGAUCGGGAAAUGAGCAAUCAGGUAUAGGAUGGGCCCGCGUCCGAUUAGCCAGUUGGCAGGGUAAAAGCCUACCAAAGCGACGAUCGGUAGCCGGACUGAGAGGUCGGACGGCCACAUUGGGACUGAGACACGGCCCAAACUCCUACGGGAGGCAGCAGUGGGGGAUAUUGCACAAUGGAGGAAACUCUGAUGCAGCGACGCCGCGUGAGUGAAGAAGUAUUUCGGUAUGUAAAGCUCUAUCAGCAGGGGAAGAUGAUGACGGUACCUGAACUAAGAAGCCCGGC